AGCCCUUUCGGGCGUUUCCUCCCAAUGACUCGGCCGCCCUCUUCUCCUGGAGGGCGGCCGUUCUUUU
This 67-nucleotide small RNA is filed under the name Caulobacter vibrioides NA1000. RNAcentral's name for it is "small non-coding RNA". Lineage: Bacteria; Pseudomonadati; Pseudomonadota; Alphaproteobacteria; Caulobacterales; Caulobacteraceae. The record is from RNAcentral.